This 416-nucleotide ribosomal RNA is filed under the name uncultured bacterium. RNAcentral describes it as "bacterial SSU rRNA". It matches the Rfam family "Bacterial small subunit ribosomal RNA", at positions 340 to 749 of the family's 1533-position model. The record is from RNAcentral.
UACGGAAGGCAGCAGUGGGGAAUAUUGCACAAUGGGCGCAAGCCUGAUGCAGCCAUGCCGCGUGUAUGAAGAAGGCCUUCGGGUUGUAAAGUACUUUCAGUCGUGAAGGAAGGUGUUAAGGUUAAUAACCUUAGCAAUUGACGUUAGCGACAGAAGAAGCACCGGCUAACUCCGUGCCAGCAGCCGCGGUAAUACGGAGGGUGCGAGCGUUAAUCGGAAUUACUGGGCGUAAAGGGCACGCAGGCGGUUAAUUAAGUUGGAUGUGAAAUCCCCGGGCUUAACCUGGGAAUGGCAUUCAAGACUGGUUAGCUAGAGUCUUGUAGAGGGGGUAGAAUUCCAUGUGUAGCGGUGAAAUGCGUAGAGAUGUGGAGGAAUACCGGUGGCGAAGGCGGCCCCUGGACAAAGACUGACGCUCA